Molecule: ribosomal RNA, 56 nt
Filed under: Mammillaria multiceps
Lineage: Eukaryota; Viridiplantae; Streptophyta; Magnoliopsida; Caryophyllales; Cactaceae
Description: partial 18S ribosomal RNA
Source: RNAcentral
UUGGAAGUAAAAGUCGUAACAAGGUUUCCACAGGUGAACUUGCAGGUGGAUCACUG